GGUCUAUCCUUGCUUAGAGUAUCGGCCUUUACGUUCCUCGCUCUCUCUCUCUCUCUCACACACUGAAUUUCACUCUCUACGGACUAAAAUUCACGCACAAAGAUGCACUGUUCUCCUCCUUUCACUCUUUCUAACCCUCUCUAAAGCCGUCGAAGAUGAAGACUUGAGCUUUCUUGAAGAACCGGCGAACGAUACCUUUUCCGCCCUCCUUUCAGAUCCGGACCAUUUCCAAACUCAAAUAACAAAACCCAUCUUCACUUUUCACUCGGUAAAUCCGUAAUCAUAUAAGAAACUCAUCACCGACCUCAUCGCCCACAACUUGUUCGAUUAAAUGCUUCUUUGACAACUUGUUACGCAAUAUACUUCUUCUAUUGAUUUUUGAGGUUUGGGGUUGUUGAUAUGGCUUUAAGGAAGAGACCAUGGCAGAAUGUUACGGGGGACUUGAUUGGAUGCGUUAUGCACGCAAGGUUUUACAGCUCUAAGGUGGACUUUAACAAGCUGAGGCCAAUGAUUCUGAAAAGAAUCGAAAGCCGAGCCAAGGACUACCCGGUUCGCGGCAUGGUUCCCGUGGCUCAGGAGGUACUUAGGGCCCGAGCAGCCCUCUACCAAGGCGUCUCUACUCUCCUCAAUGUCUUUCCUGUUAUGACCUGCAAGUUUUGUCCAGAAGUGUAUAUUGGUGAGAAAGGUCAUUUAAUUCAGACUUGCUGUGGUUACAAGCGCCGUGCUAAGAAUCGAGUUCAUGAAUGGAUUAGUGGUGGUUUGAAUGAUAUACUUGUUCCAGUAGAAACUUUUCAUCUGCAGAACAUGUUCCAAGAUGUUAUUAAGCACCAACAAAGGUUUGAUUUUGACCGUGUUCCUGCAGUUGUCGAACUGUGCUGGCAGGCAGGAGCCAAUCCAUAUGACGAAGAUAUGUGCUCCAGCAAUUGGAACUUGGAAAAUGUUUCCACUGCUAUUGAAGGAGCUGAGUCUUUGUCGCCUCAUGAACUGAAUUUAAUUGCCAAUAGAACUCUGAGAGCAUGGGAGAUCCUCAGAACUGGUGUACAGAAAUUGUUGUUGGUUUAUUCGGCAAAAGUCUGUAAAUACUGUUCAGAAGUUCAUGUUGGGCCAUCUGGACACAAGGCUAGGCUCUGUGGAGUAUUUAAGUAUGAGAGUUGGCGAGGAGCCCACUUCUGGGAAAAGGCAGAAGUAGAUGAUUUGGUGCCUCCUAAGCUUGUAUGGAAGCGGCGGCCUCAGGAUCCUCUUGUGCUUGUGGAUGCACAUAGGGAUUUUUAUGGACAUGCACCAGCAGUUGUGGAUUUGUGCACACAGGCUGGCAUUAUUGCACCAACAAAGUAUCAUUGUAUGAUGAAAGUGCAAGGUUUGUCAGGACCUGCUCAACUCAAAGUUUGAAGCUGGCUGUGAAUUGAAUUCUGUGGGUUUGGCUUCAAGGAACUUGGUCUAGUACAGUUCAGGGUGCAGAGCUCAGGCCAGAGUCUGAUUCACUUGCCUUAAGGAGUUUCUGGUAUGUCUCACACAUGGUUUUGUCAUUUUUGGUACCAGCAGAAAAUUUUGUUAGCAUACCCAGUAUCUUAAUGAAAGGGAAAUGCUUGUCCCCAUAGGAUCCAAGCUGGGAAUCUUGUGCUCUUAGCUUAUCUAGUAGUUAUUUGAUUCCAAAAUGGGAAAGGUAUACAAAACCCCCCAUGUAGUUUCUCUGUAAAACAUAAAAUCCAUGAAGUUUUGAGUGUAAACGGUCCGGCUCCCCUCCCGUUUAGAAUCCUCAUGUUGUCUUCUAUGAGUGAUACGUGACAAAUGACACAUCCAAAGGUUAAAAAACACCCAUGUCAACUGUGGGUUUUCUCUCAAUUUUUGGGUUUUUCUUUCUUUCUUUCUUCCUGUCUCUCUCCAACGUUGUCUCAGCCGCCUAAGAAUCAAAGGCGCCAAGAUCGUAACUUUCUGGCAAAAAGGGGUAAAAGCGGGACAAUAGAUGAGGAAAUCAAAGAAGAAUAAAAUCUUUCUGCCAAAAGUCAAGGACGCUCUAUUGUGCAAGGUGGUUGUUCAAGUUAUUGUCCUCUGUUUGUAAAACCAUUUUCAUUUUUCUUGUAAAACCAUUAUCUGUUCUAUCUCCAUUCUUAAUUUUAAUUUUUUUUUCUAUUGUUUUGAGCAGUUGUUUGGCCGCAUAAUUUACUGUAUAUUUCUUCUUGAUUUGGGCUUAUUGAAGACCUAACAUGUUAUCACCGAAUGGUCAAAUCUAUUCAAUGUCAAAAACUUCAGUUGAUCUUUA
RNA transcript from Quercus robur (English oak), 2260 nucleotides. It is a transcript of the gene named APO protein 4, mitochondrial, with no coding region annotated. The record is from RefSeq and is a predicted model, not a curated record. NCBI's taxonomy places the organism in Eukaryota, Viridiplantae, Streptophyta, Magnoliopsida, Fagales, Fagaceae. The transcript is spliced from 3 exons.